UAGGGAAUCUUCGGCAAUGGACGGAAGUCUGACCGAGCAACGCCGCGUGAGUGAAGAAGGUUUUCGGAUCGUAAAGCUCUGUUGUAAGAGAAGAACGAGUGUGAGAGUGGAAAGUUCACACUGUGACGGUAUCUUACCAGAAAGGGACGGCUAACUACAUGCCAGCAGCCGCGGUAAUACGUAGGUCCCGAGCGUUGUCCGGAUUUAUUGGGCGUAAAGCGAGCGCAGGCGGUUAGAUAAGUCUGAAGUUAAAGGCUGUGGCUUAACCAUAGUAGGCUUUGGAAACUGUUUAACUUGAGUGCAAGAGGGGAGAGUGGAAUUCCAUGUGUAGCGGUGAAAUGCGUAGAUAUAUGGAGGAACACCGGUGGCGAAAGCGGCUCUCUGGCUUGUAACUGACGCUGAGGCUCGAAAGCGUGGGGAGCAAACAGGAUUAGAUACCCUGGUAGUCCACGCUGUAAACGAUGAGUGCUAGGUGUUAGACCCUUUCCGGGGUUUAGUGCCGUAGCUAACGCAUUAAGUACUCCGCCUGGGGAGUACGACCGCAAGGUU
Molecule: ribosomal RNA, 549 nt
Filed under: uncultured bacterium
Lineage: Bacteria
Description: bacterial SSU rRNA
Rfam family: Bacterial small subunit ribosomal RNA
Source: RNAcentral